This is a non-coding RNA of Ictidomys tridecemlineatus (thirteen-lined ground squirrel), 1693 nucleotides long. The record is from RefSeq and is a predicted model, not a curated record. Lineage: Eukaryota; Metazoa; Chordata; Mammalia; Rodentia; Sciuridae.
GCAGAUGGUUAAGGGUUUCCCAGAAGGUUUCAGGAUAAAAGAGCAGCGGGUACACAUGUCAGCAGGGAGGAUGCUGAGCGCAUGUGCACUCAGGGACCCUGCCUGGUGUGGACGCUGGGAAGGGAUGAGCAGGGAGGAGUUUCCUAGCCCAGGGACUGGUUUUAUCUGCAGGAAACUUGCCUUGUUGCCUGGGAUACGAUAGAAGAUCUUUAAACAGCAGUGAAAUCUGGGCUUGGGAGAAGAGCUGUCAGUUAACAUUUGAAAUGCCCUCAUCAGAAGUAGCCACUCAAGGUGGAAGAGGGAGAUGUGGACACCUGGAAAGUGGGCCUUGGAAGAAAGCUGAUCUGCAGUCGCUCCUCGCAGGCAGGUCCCACAGCUAUUUCCAACAUCACUGAUUUCAGUCUGCACCUGAGUGGCUCUAUGCUGGGAGGCGGCGUGUUGAUUCCAACAGGCUAACCCAUCAGUAGGGGAAUGUGGAGUGGGCAUUAGACCAGCGAUGGUGUCCCUUGAGGAUAGUUAUGAAGAAAGGGCCCAGAAAUGUCUAUGUAGGUUUCAUUUCUUUUUGUCCUUUUUCAUUGUACUUUAUUGAAGUAUCAUUUGCAGUAUCUUAGGAGAUGAUCCUUGACCACGGCUGAAGUGAGUCAUUUGUGAAUUAGCAGAGAAUGCCCUGAGCUCUGCCCAGUGUUGCUCAUGGCCAUGGUUCUCCUCUGUAUGUUCUACCACUUGGAAGAGGAAUCUCAAAAAGCUGUGCCCAGAAAUGCAGCUACACUGCCACUCUGCUGUCCUAAUGGAGAAAUGCACCGUGAUUGACAAGGGUCCAUCACGCUGCUGGAAUGCAUUUCGGCAAGGAACAAAGGAUAUUUUAAAGUUCUUGUUAUAAACAUAUGGCACUCUCAGAUUUAAAUACAAGAUAAAACAAAGUUGCAGACUUGAUAAAGCGAAUGAGAAAAUCGGGGUGAUGUUUCAGUCUACACACAAAGGCGUUGUCAACCAUGCUUCAUUGUGGUAAGGAUUGAGAGUUAAAAGGAAAUGGAAAUUCUUGCGGCCCAAGUUAACUUGAAAAUGUCAUCGUUAGGAAAGCAACCGAGGAAAGCUGUGGCAGUGAGGAAAAGGAGUUUACCUCCUGGGGGUCCCCCGGUGCCAUCUUCCUGGAGAGCCCCCUCCUCUUCCUCCAACCAGCCACCUGGGGAGUUCGGUGCCUCUCCCAGGCACAGGGACUGCUGCGCAGAGCUGAGACACACGUCCAUAGCUGGAGCCUGCUGGGAGGAAAGAACUGGACAAGACCCGUGUCACUUGGCCCAAGGAAAGUCUGACUCUCCCUGAAGGAUCCAAAGAGUGUAGCUUAUCGCCUUAGCAUCUGCUGAGCCGAAAAGAUCAACUGCUUUUCAGCUUAGUUCCCUGGGAGAGCCAGGAGCCACCCAAGGAACUGCCAUUUGGCUUUGCAGAGCAAGGUACAGAGAGAACAUGAAACACAACCGAGUCCUCACAUGGAGAAAAGCAAACUCAGAGCAGGUGUAGCCCGGGAACAAGACUGUCACUCGGGGCUAGAGCAAGGUUUGGUUAUUUUGUAACCUUUGCCAUUCUCUAGUGUCACCCAGUGUUGUAACACAUCACUAAGUUCUGGGGAUCUAAAAUGCAUUUCCAAUAACUUUUGGAUCUGAAUUCCAAUAAAGAAGAUCUGCCCCGCGUUGCA